Molecule: long non-coding RNA, 1197 nt
Organism: Acanthopagrus latus (yellowfin seabream)
Lineage: Eukaryota; Metazoa; Chordata; Actinopteri; Spariformes; Sparidae
Exons: 8
Source: RefSeq, a predicted model, not a curated record
AUGAUUUAAGCUGCGCUAGUGCAGAAAGUAUUUACGUUAGCUCGAACGUUAGCAUCUAGCUAGCUGAUGGGCAAACCAAACCACAGUGAAUUCAGGACAGGCAGAAAGAAUCACCACAAAACAUCACAGAAGGUCUGGAUUCGUCUCUACAAAUGCAAGAAAAUAGUUACAUAUUGGCAGUCGUGGAACCAGGUUUGAAAGAAGCCAGAGCAGGCGAGGAAGUCCCAGCAGAGAGAGUGAACACUGUCGCUGUCUCCCAGGUUGAGGGACGCAAGGGACAAGCUGGAGACUGAAAAGACACGUUGGCGUGAACCUAAAUAUGUGUCAACAUACCGAGCCUCCUCCUUCUUCUGCUCCAGCUCAGCCUCCAGCUGCAUCUUCUUCUGCUGCGUCUCCUUCUCCCUCCUCAUCCUUUUCUCCAACAGCGCAGCCCUCUUCUGAGCCAUGUUCUCCUCUGCCUUUCCAUCCUCCUGAGUCGCAAAGUGAACAUAGUCAGCCAACUCCCACUGUUUGAGCCUACCUUGAAGAAGAAACCAUGACACAUUUUCUGUUCGUAAUCUGAGCUGUCCACGUUAUCCUGCUGCGUCUCCAAACCAUCAUCAAGUGUCAGAUCCUCCAGCGGCUUCACGACUGACAGAGGAACCUCAAUCAAGCUGCUCUUGGCCUCGCCUGAGUCUUCUGGCUGUGAAGGAAUCUCUGUAGGUGUCACCGUGAAGGUCUCCACCACAGGGUGUGCCAGAACCUCAGGAAAUGAAGACUGACAUAUGAACAGGACUGCAGUAUUACGAACCGUUUCUCUUUGGGCCAAGUGCCGAGGUUGCCAUCGACGAAGGACAUUGAGGUUGACCUCUUGAUCUCUCCUGGAUGACACAAACACAACCACUUCCACUUUCUACACCUGAGACUACAGUUCCCUUUGCUGCCAUGAAUACUGUCAUGAGGUCUGAAUUGAAGACUUGCCUGUGUUUUCGAUGUCCAGCAAUCUUGGUUUCACAAAUGACGGCUUGACCACCUCAAACCACCAAAAAAGCUCUGCCAUGAACACCAGAGUAUCCCCUUAAGAAAUAGAUGCUUCAUAGUUCAACCUCCAGUGGAGCCAUUUACAAUUGGAUCCACAAUCAUCAUCCUUUUCAGCAAGGAAUUUAAAAAAAAAAAAUGUGACACUGAAGUAAAAUAAAGAUGACUUAUUAAGAAUCA